RNAcentral lists this ribosomal RNA (308 nucleotides) under uncultured bacterium. Its description in RNAcentral is "bacterial SSU rRNA". It matches the Rfam family "Bacterial small subunit ribosomal RNA", at positions 29 to 327 of the family's 1533-position model. The record is from RNAcentral.
AUGUCCUGNNCNAUGAACGCUGGCGGCAUGCUUUACACAUGCAAGUCGAACGGGGUGGAGGGGCAACUCUCCAUUCAGUGGCGAACGGGUGAGUAAUGCAUCGGAACGUGUCCCGUAGUGGGGGAUAACGCCGCGAAAGCGGCGCUAAUACCGCAUACGCUCUGAGGAGGAAAGCAGGGGACCCGCAAGGGCCUUGUGCUAGGGGAGCGGCCGAUGUCCGAUUAGCUAGUUGGUGGGGUAACGGCCUACCAAGGCUGCGAUCGGUAACUGGUCUGAGAGGAUGAUCAGCCACACUGGGAUUGAUACAC